CCGAGUUUACAACUCCCAAACCCCCAUGUGAACGUUACCAAACUGUUGCCUCGGCGGGUCAUUCAUGCCCCGGGCGCGUCGCAGCCCCGGACCAAGGCGCCCGCCGGAGGAACCAACCAAAAAACUCUUCUGUAUGUCCCUCGCGGACUUUUAUAAUUCUGAACCAUCUCGGCGCCCCUAGCGGGCGUUUCGAAAAUGAAUCA
RNAcentral lists this unclassified non-coding RNA (203 nucleotides) under soil metagenome. Its description in RNAcentral is "partial internal transcribed spacer 1". The record is from RNAcentral.